GUAACAUUUUAAGUAACCUUAUAGAAAAAUGAUAAUAAUAAAAGUUACAUACUGAGUUUUUGGGUUCGGGGUGGCGCAGUGGGUUGGACCGGGUCCUGCUCUCCGGUAGGUCUGGGGUUCGAGUCCCACUUGGGGUGCCUUGUGAUAGACUGGCAUCCUGUCCUGGGUGUGUCCCCUCCCCCUCCAGCCUUACGCCUUGUGUUGCCGGGUUAGACUCUGGCUCCCCGCGACCCCAAAUGGGACAAGCGGCUCAGACAGUGCGUGGGGACUGAGUUUUUGAUUAGUCAGUGGUUGAUGAGCCCUUAAUUCCCAUUAAUAAAGGAAUCUGUUUUUUUUUUUUUCUUUUUUAAACAGUGCUGAUUUUCAUGCUUCACUUGACACAACUGCAGUUGCAUUCGGAAUCAUGUUACUUUACCCUCUUUCACUCUUUUUGUUUUACAGAACAACCAGAGGAUUUAUCCACAGCCUUCAGUCCCUCUGUUCCUCUUCUCUGUCAUUUGUUCCUUGGUCUCCUUCCGUCUCCUCUUUAGCCCACCGCUCCUCGGCACCUGUGAUGACAAGUUGACGGCCGACACACCUCCUGGCAAGCCGUGAUUUAAAGCACAUGCAUGUGCAUUUUGUAUGCAAAUGUUGUUGUGCCUUACGCUGCAGACUUCCAGGGCCAGCCGCCAUCCUACAAGUCGAGACACAUCUGCCUUCCGUACCUUGGAGCACGAGGCUUGAUCCGGUUCUACAAAUAAACCCGCUGAAGGAACAUGAGAGAGGGAGGCAAACUGGAAUUACCGCAGGUGAGCCAACAGUAGACUGUGAUUUCUGGGAAAGUAGCAGAAGUACUCCCACUCCAACUCCUCCAGGACCCAAACAAUUCUCACUCUCAUUCCACUACACCCGUCAGCUGAAGUGAGGCAGCAAGACAGUGGCCUGGUGGAACCACCAGGAAAGCUGCCUUUUAUUGAGGCUCAAAGUUGUGCGGUGGCAGGAAAAAGUGCUGAGGACUCAGUAACAGCAGAAGAACCAGCUUUUACCGCAAUCUUUAGAACCCAACGCUGACAAGGACAGCGUGACCCAAAAGACUCACAACAGAACCCGUAACAAGGCUAUCGACAAGGUUGUGAAAAAGGUCAUCAACAGCUCCAUCAACAAGGGCAUGAAUGCUGUGGUGCACAGCAGAUGCAAGAAUCUCCAGGACUCCAAGAAUCCAGACUGAGUUUCAAAAGUCUGUCACUGAAGAACACAAUAUACUGCUGCCACA
Molecule: long non-coding RNA, 1252 nt
Filed under: Scleropages formosus (Asian bonytongue)
Lineage: Eukaryota; Metazoa; Chordata; Actinopteri; Osteoglossiformes; Osteoglossidae
Description: lncRNA (ENSSFOG00015031212.1)
Source: RNAcentral